This 506-nucleotide ribosomal RNA is filed under the name uncultured bacterium. RNAcentral describes it as "partial 16S ribosomal RNA". It matches the Rfam family "Bacterial small subunit ribosomal RNA", at positions 30 to 523 of the family's 1533-position model. The record is from RNAcentral.
AUUGAACGCUGGCGACAGGCCUAACACAUGCAAGUCGAACGGUAGCACAGAGGAGCUUGCUCCUUGGGUGACGAGUGGCGGACGGGUGAGUAAUGUCUGGGAAGCUGCCCGAUGGAGAGGGAUAACUACUGGAAACGGUAGCUAAUACCGCAUAACGUCGCAAGACCAAAGAGGGGGACCUUCGGGCCUCUUGCCAUCGGAUGUGCCCAGAUGGGAUUAGCUAGUAGGUGGGGUAACGGCUCACCUAGGCGACGAUCCCUAGCUGGUCUGAGAGGAUGACCAGCCACACUGGAACUGAGACACGGUCCAGACUCCUACGGGAGGCAGCAGUGGGGAAUAUUGCACAAUGGGCGCAAGCCUGAUGCAGCCAUGCCGCGUGUAUGAAGAAGGCCUUCGGGUUGUAAAGUACUUUCAGCGGGGAGGAAGGGGUUAAGGUUAAUAACCUUAGCCAUUGACGUUACCCGCAGAAGAAGCACCGGCUAACUCCGUGCCAGCAGCCGCCGUAA